GCAAUAAUCGCAAGAUAAUAAAUUACCUAUUUACCCGAAACAGGCGCACAAUUAACUCGCGUGAUUGCAGCGCAGAACUAUGGCGCGACUCCACCGUGUGGUUUUGCCAGAUUGCCGCGCACACCGGCCGACACAACUACUAUGGUUUCGAGUAUUUCGCGCAGCGUUAAUUUAAGACGUCCGUCUUCACGGCGAUGUAGACUUCGUCCCCUCCCGAACAUUGUAAAGUGUAAUGUGUGAUGUGUAAUGUGUAAAGUGAAUUAUGUAUUAAAUUGCAACAACUACAAACUGCGGCAAUUUGGCCACGGGCCCUAUUUGCGAGUGCAAACGGCUGGGUGCAAAAAACAAGUAAAACAAAUUAAGAAAAGUAAUCAAGCUCACAAUAACUUAAAAUAAAAAAUUAUGCGUAAAUUGCCACAACCACACACUGCGGCAAUUUGGCCACGGGAGUUACCGACCCAUUGGUACCAAACACCACCCCUCCCCCUAACCAACCACGCGCACACACAUAAAAGACGCUGCUGCGCAAUGAGUUUAGCGUAUUGUGAAGUCCUUCUUAGAAUUUGACAACCAGAAAGGAGUUUCUUACCUGGGCAGUGGAAUAUAAACACACAGCACAAAUGCACGUAAGAGAAAGAAGUCACAACACAAAACAUACGAACACAGAAAGAAACAAGAAAGUCAUGGAAGCAUACCGGAUGAGUGAAACGUUGCCGGAUACUUAUUUUUGCAAAAAAAUAAAAAUAUAAUUUGUCUAUACUGGCCAUCACUUAACAAUAACUCCAUACUCUUACUGUGUACCAACCUCUGCCAAAUAAAUU
RNAcentral lists this long non-coding RNA (821 nucleotides) under Drosophila melanogaster (fruit fly). RNAcentral's name for it is "long non-coding RNA:CR46253 (Dmel_CR46253)". The record is from RNAcentral. Lineage: Eukaryota; Metazoa; Arthropoda; Insecta; Diptera; Drosophilidae.